RNAcentral lists this long non-coding RNA (355 nucleotides) under Androctonus crassicauda. The record is from RNAcentral. Lineage: Eukaryota; Metazoa; Arthropoda; Arachnida; Scorpiones; Buthidae.
AAUGACCACAGCUACACGUGUCCUCGAAUUUUGAAUAUAAAAGACCGACUAAAAUCUUAAAUCGACCAGAAUCUGCUUGUAACAGAAUCAACAAACAUCUAACAAUGAAAUCUAUGAUCGCUGCCGUUCUUCUCGCCCUUGUGGCCACCACCUUUGCAGGAUAUCUUGGCUAUGGUGGAUAUGGUGGCUUAGGAUAUGGUUAUGGAGGAUACGGUUUCGGAGGAUACCCAGUAGGCCGAGCUGUUGCAUACAGUACCAGCAUCCGUCACCCAGGUUACGGAUACGGAUUGGGCUAUGGUCUUGGUGGAUACGGUUAUGGUCUCGGCUACGGAGGUUAUGGUCUCGGAUAUGGAGG